Molecule: ribosomal RNA, 292 nt
Filed under: uncultured bacterium
Lineage: Bacteria
Description: partial 16S ribosomal RNA
Rfam family: Bacterial small subunit ribosomal RNA
Source: RNAcentral
GUGCCAGCAGCCGCGGUAAUACAGAGGGGGCAAGCGUUGUCCGGAUUUACUGGGCGUACAGCGCGCGCAGGCGGACCUGGACGUGCCGUGUGACAGCCCACCGCUCACCGGUGGAAGGCCACGGUACACGACAGGUCUGGAGGCAGGGAGAGGGAUGUGGAAUGCCCGGUGGAGCGGUGAAAUGCGUAGAGAUCGGGCGGAACACCAGCGGCGAAGGCGGCAUCCUGGCCCUGACCUGACGCUGAGGCGCGAGAGCGUGGGGAGCAAACUGGAUUAGAUACCCCCGUAGUCC